CAGAGUUGCAAAACUCCCAACCCUUUGUGAACCAACCUACCAGCUGCUCCGGCGGCGAAACUCUUUAUUUUAGUAUCUCUGAUUACUUAUUUAAUAAGUUA
This 101-nucleotide unclassified non-coding RNA is filed under the name uncultured Lasiosphaeriaceae. RNAcentral's name for it is "sequence contains ITS1". Lineage: Eukaryota; Fungi; Ascomycota; Sordariomycetes; Sordariales; Lasiosphaeriaceae. The record is from RNAcentral.